RNAcentral lists this ribosomal RNA (674 nucleotides) under uncultured bacterium. Its description in RNAcentral is "bacterial SSU rRNA". It matches the Rfam family "Bacterial small subunit ribosomal RNA", at positions 57 to 713 of the family's 1533-position model. The record is from RNAcentral.
GCAGUCGAACGGAAGUCGUUACGAAAUGGAAUGAAGAUUUAUCUGAUUGAAGUUUUGUAACAAUGGCUUUAGUGGCGGACUGGUGAGUAACACGUAAGCAAUCUACCUAUUAGAGGGGAAUAACAAUGAGAAAUCAUUGCUAAUACCGCAUAAGCUUGUAGUACCGCAUGGUACAGCAAGAAAAGGAGCAAUCCGCUAAUAGAUGAGCUUGCGGCUGAUUAGCUAGUUGGUGUGGUAACGGCAUACCAAGGCAGCGAUCAGUAGCCGGGCUGAGAGGCUCUUCGGCCACAUUGGGACUGAGAUACGGCCCAGACUCCUACGGGAGGCAGCAGUCGGGAAUUUUGCGCAAUGGAGGAAACUCUGACGCAGUGACGCCGCGUAUAGGAAGAAGGUUUUCGGAUUGUAAACUAUUUUAGUCAGGGAAGAAAAAUGACAGUACCUGAAGAAUAAGCUCCGGCUAACUACGUGCCAGCAGCCGCGGUAAUACGUAGGGAGCAAGCGUUAUCCGGAUUUAUUGGGUGUAAAGGGUGCGUAGACGGGAAGACAAGUUGGUUGUGAAAGCCCUCGGCUCAACUGAGGAACUGCAACCAAAACUAUCAUUCUUGAGUGCGGGAGAGGAAAGUGGAAUUCCUAGUGUAGCGGUGAAAUGCGUAGAUAUUAGGAGGAACACCAGU